CGCGCGCAGGACGGGACGCCAGGGUUUGUGUGGGGGCAGCUCGGAGAGGUACGAGGGUCCUAGGACAGGUUUGAGAGGCCCCUCUGCCUAUUUCCCCUCCAGCGCCUGGGGGCGCCCUCUAGCCCCAGAGACCCGCCUCUUAGCUCUUCUUUUCCUAAAACCCAGCCCCGCAGCCCUCGCCGGACCCAGGGGUAGGGAGGAGGUCCCAGGGAAGAACCUGGUUGCCAAAGUCUCGGCCAGUUGGAGAAGAGAUGGGUCUCCCGAGGAUACCCAAGCCCAAGCUCUACACUGUCCCAAGGUGGUUUGUUUUUCUUCUUUCUUCUAUUGGUCUGGACCUUGUAUAUUCUGGGAGGAGGUGAUUAAGGCCAAAUUGCCUUAAGUGGCCAUCCAGCCAGAAGCUGGAAGAAGGGAAGGAUGAGAGGGAAUGAACUGUUGUGUUACGGCUAUUGAGAGAAACAGUGGCAAUACACAGCCAAAGCCCUGAGUUUCUAAUACGGCGCCACCUCUUAUGAGCUGUGAGAUCUUGGGCAAAGUAACUAACCUUUAAGUAUUUGUCUGUAGAAUUGAGAUUGAAAUACUUAUCUUUGCCAGAAUUGUUAUAAGAAUUAAAUGAGUUGAAAGUGUUUCAUCAAGUGUGCAAUGCUACUCAAGUAGGAGGGACUAAGCUACUUCCUUCUCUCACUGCUUGACUGAGCUUCUCUCCAGCCCCACCCCCUGAUGUUUACUGCUUAUGGAGAAAGAGAUUAAGUGAAGCAGGCCCACACAUUCAUGAAGGUGGAAGGAAGAUGUAGCAGGAGAUGGUGGAGAGGGAAACAGAGGAAGACAGGAUGACAGACGUGGGGAGGAAAGGCUGAGCGAGGCAAUGUCCUGACUCACUCUGGCGCUUCCCUCUUUCCCAUCUGGGCUCCAGAGUCUCUGCCCUCAUUCCCCUUCACCAGGUUGCUCAACCCUCCAUCAGACUGUUAGGUCAAGGGUGGACAAACAGACCAACCGGGAUCUGGAUGGCCCCUGGGCAGUACUGACUUCCCCUACCAUUCCCAUGGCAAGAAAAGGGAGUGAUUCCACUAGCAGACUCCCCUACCCUGCAGUGAGACAGCCUGUAGGAAGGUGAGACUCAGACCCCAAGGUUUCUGCUUUUGCUUUGUUCCUUCGAGAUCUCCAUUCCCCCAUGGGAGAGAAACCUCUCUGUCCCACCUGCCCUCCCCUCCCAUCAGCUUUCAGAUUCUCCAGCUGCUCCUCUUCUGAGACUCACCCAGUCUCAUGCCUCCAUUAGCCUCAACUCCCGACCCAUGGCCUGUGGUGAGAGGUGCUAACAACAUGACCUGCUUUCAUCUUGACCUUCCCAGCCCACCCAGAGAAAAGGGAAUCUUGGCUAAAAAAAGGCUGGAAGAGGGGAGAACCCUGGCACUGCGGGUGGGGCUGGGAGGAGCCCAGGCAACCUUACUGGUGAGAAUCUCAUGGCUCUUCAAGGUGAAUAUGAUGAUGAUUUCCCUGGGGUUUCUUUCAAUACUCAGAAGCCGCCCCGAGUUGGAAAGCACAUGCAUACUUGGGGAGGCCAGGGGAGGAAAAGGGGGGCGGCUCACUCUGACAGUAAAUGAAGAAAGUGGAAACAAAUUCAAGGAGCAGGCAGAGCUCCCGGUUUCACCAGAGCCCAACGGUUGGUAAUAAGGAUGAGAACAAUGUGCCUUCACUUCCUGGGAUCAGAACAGCACAUGGCCGCACAUGUACGGGUAUGCAUGUGCUUCCAUAAUCAUAUACUUUCCCAGCUUCUACUCUGCCUGUGGUCUAAUUUCAACUCCUUCAGCUGCUGUACCCACCCAUAAAAUUAUGAGUGUAAAAGCACUUUGCAAACCCUGAUACUCUAUGAAGAAGUAAAAAGUAGUGCUGUAAUUAUUAUCAUUAUUAUGUCCAAUGGUUGAGGUUUCCGCUGCCCACCUGUCAGCUAUGUGAGGCCUAAAGAGAGGGAGGGCUAGGCCAUUCCUCAGCUUCUGAGGUUCCUGGCCCUUUUCCCCUUCCAUCUGUCCACAGCUGACUGCUAAGCUGGAUGCGUAGGGGAAAGCAGAGAAAAGGUGAUUUACUGGGACACAGAGACACAGGCUGGAAGAGAUAGCAUGUGUUUCCUUAAAAUUUGAAGCAUUUGGCUGGGCACAGUGGCUCACACCUGUAAUCCCUGCACUUUGGGAGGUAAAGGCAAGAGGAUUUCCUGGGCCCAAGAGUUAGAGGCUGCAGUGAGCUAUGAUUGUGCCAUUGUACUCCAGCCUGGGAGACAGAAACCCCCUCUCUUAAAAAAAUAAAAAAAUAAAAAAUGGAACCAUUGCUCUGAGUUUCUAAUAGGGGGAGU
RNAcentral lists this long non-coding RNA (2341 nucleotides) under Homo sapiens (human). Its description in RNAcentral is "HSALNT0015765". The record is from RNAcentral. Lineage: Eukaryota; Metazoa; Chordata; Mammalia; Primates; Hominidae.